RNAcentral lists this long non-coding RNA (596 nucleotides) under Brachypodium distachyon (stiff brome). Its description in RNAcentral is "long non-coding RNA (BDIS_LNC005398)". Lineage: Eukaryota; Viridiplantae; Streptophyta; Magnoliopsida; Poales; Poaceae. The record is from RNAcentral.
UACGUCGUUGUAUUUGAUUUGUAGGGUCCGGGGAUAAAUUUUUUUGCAAGGAUUCUCUUGCACUGUAUUUGAUCGAACAAUUUCAUUAGCUGAACUUUUUGGAACCAUAGUCUUGUUCUUCUAUGGUGCAGUGAAACAACUUGGGUGAAAAAACAUCAAACAAUAAUGUACAAUUUAGAUGAACAUGACAUCGCAAUUUUAUGUUGUUCUUGUUUCAGCGUUUCUAGACUCUAGUAAAACAACAAAGAGCCACUCAAUAAUCAAUUGGUUCCAAUGAAAAAUAUGUGAUCCGUAAAAAAUGGCAUUUGACCCCGCCCCCCCUUUACCGUUAUUAUAGUAUCCUCGAUAAACCGAAAUAAGUCUACAUAUAAAAACCACCAUCCUGCUAGAUAUCAAAUAACUUGUGUAGGAAUCACUUUCAGUGAAAAACCUGUAUCGAUAAAAACAUUUUAACAACAAAAAAAAAUGCAAAGAAACUCUUGAACUUCAAGGUAACCACACAAAAAAAGAAUCUUUGCUGAAAAAAACCAUGACAUGUCAGCUACAUCGACCAAGUCAAAACAAACCGCCAGCGUCACACCCAUUAAACUCGCGUC